This is a long non-coding RNA of Alosa sapidissima (American shad), 1205 nucleotides long. RefSeq lists it as uncharacterized. The record is from RefSeq and is a predicted model, not a curated record. NCBI's taxonomy places the organism in Eukaryota, Metazoa, Chordata, Actinopteri, Clupeiformes, Clupeidae. The transcript has 3 exons.
UUCCUAUGAGCAACGCAUCAUUCUGCUGCCACUCCGCGCAAAAACGCAUCAGCUGUCUCGCGUUGCCGGCUGCCAGCACAAGGGCGAUUCUGCUCGGGAAAAGGAGCGCCGUGUUUCUCGCUCUCCCUCGGCUCUCAUCCGGACAACACACGACCUUGAAGAAGGAGAUCUCCGUGAUCAAAAUAGCUCCGGGUUGAACUUCCACCAACCAACACGUCGGUAGGAGGAGUCAACAGAGGGCGUGUGACCUGCAUGGUGUAGUUGGGCAGUGGGAUACAAGCUCCUGGACCAGACUCACCGGGGACAAUAGCCACACACCAACACUGGGAAGGAGCUGUCUCGGUGACUCACAGUGACAGGGUCAAGCCGCCGGGAGGACCAUGUGACCUCUCUGUGGCCCCGCCCACCAUUGCUCACUUGUCCUCGGUCACUUCCUGUCAGGCCUCUCUCUCUCUGCGGCGGAGUGGCCGGUGACAUCAGAGCAGAGCGGAGCUCGCCGCGUCUACGUCCACGUCUUCGUCCACCUCCCACGGCCACGGUGAGCUCCGUCCGCCUGCGGAACAUCUGAACAGGGACCAAAGGACACACACACACACACACACUCACAGAGGACACUCAGAGGAAGGACAUCUCAGGACGCGUUGUUUUUGUCGAGUAAGGGAGUGCGGAGUUUUCUAUCUUUUUCCCCAAAGAAAACCACCUGCAUCGUUUUUUUUUUACUGCUGCUAGAACAGCGCAAGUCCCUUGACCUCCCUCUUAUCUGUGCACAGUCGGACACGUGCACACACACACACACACACACACACACACACACACACACACACACACACACACACACGUUUCUACUAACAGAACACUGACACAGACCAAGGAGCAGAAGGCCCAAGUGUUUCUGGUUGGAUUCUGGAUUUACCAUCGCCGUGGUUACUGCCCCGCGUGUGAGGAAUGUAAACAGCCACCGGCACCACGGACGAGCGCAGGAGAGGCGUGGGCUUCGGCGGAGGAGGCGGCGGCGGCGGAGGCAGUUCCCGGCUCGACUUCGGCAUGUCUGGCAACGGGAACCCGUGCCCCCCAGGGGUGCCCCCUCCGCUGGGCGCCUUCUCCGUGCCCCAUUACUCCUACUUCUUCCCUCACAUGCUGGGGGGGCUCUCGCCCCCCGCCCUGCCCGGCCUGUCCGUCAGCGGAUACAGCACCCCGUCUCCAGC